AGCUUUGCCUGAUUGCCUCUCUCCUCCGCCAACUCAUGAAAUGUUCAUAUUAACACAACUCUAUUGACCCCUUCUUCUUGAGGUCUAAUGUCCUCCCUGAUGCUCACGUUUCGGAGCUCUUCAUUAACGUUUUUGACUUAUAGUUAUAUUGAUAUUGCUUAGUCAAAAACGAGAGAUAAAUUUUCUUAAAAUGAAACAUUAUUGUCCCCCGGUA
Long non-coding RNA from Arabidopsis thaliana (thale cress), 214 nucleotides. RefSeq annotates it as other RNA. The transcript has a single exon. The record is from RefSeq. NCBI's taxonomy places the organism in Eukaryota, Viridiplantae, Streptophyta, Magnoliopsida, Brassicales, Brassicaceae.